GACGAACGCUGGCGGCGUGCUUAACACAUGCAAGUCGAACGGAAAGGCCCUGCUUUUGUGGGGUGCUCGAGUGGCGAACGGGUGAGUAACACGUGAGUAACCUGCCCUUGACUUUGGGAUAACUUCAGGAAACUGGGGCUAAUACCGGAUAGGAGCUCCUGCUGCAUGGUGGGGGUUGGAAAGUUUCGGCGGUUGGGGAUGGACUCGCGGCUUAUCAGCUUGUUGGUGGGGUAGUGGCUUACCAAGGCCUUGACGGGUAGCCGGCCUGAGAGGGUGACCGGCCACAUUGGGACUGAGAUACGGCCCAGACUCCUACGGGAGGCAGCAGUGGGGAAUAUUGCACAAUGGGCGGGAGCCUGAUGCAGCAACGCCGCGUGCGGGAUGACGGCCUUCGGGUUGUAAACCGCUUUCGCCUGUGACGAAGCGUGAGUGACGGUAAUGGGUAAAGAAGCACCGGCUAACUACGUG
Molecule: ribosomal RNA, 468 nt
Filed under: uncultured bacterium
Lineage: Bacteria
Description: partial 16S ribosomal RNA
Rfam family: Bacterial small subunit ribosomal RNA
Source: RNAcentral